ACCUUUUAUUACCUCCGCCAGGAGGUUAUGUAAUCAUCUGGUUACCUCCGCCAGGAGGUUAUGUAAUCAUCUGGGUUUGUAUGUGUGUGUGUGUGUGUGUAUGUGUGUGUGUAUGUGUGUGUGUGUGUGUAUGUGUGUGUGUGUGUAUGUGUGUGUGUUUGUCUGUGAGCACGAUAACUCAAGAAAUACCAAACAUAUCCGUACGAAAUUUUUUGAAUACAUUUCCCAUCGGCUAAGGAAGAACUGAUUAAAAUUUGGUUGAAUUUGGUUAAAAAUUGAACGAGGAAUGAACAAAAUUUUGUCUUGCUUUUCCCGGUCAAUUAACAAAAAAUAUUACUGAAUGCGUAAUUAGGACGUGUAUAAUUUAUGCACUCAGUGCUAAGACAAUAAUGAGAUGAUAAACCUCAUUAAGCUUCGGCCUUCAUUAUCUAUUGUCUUAGUUGCAUUUCACGCGACCGAAAUUCAAUAUCUAAAACAAGGCUU
Molecule: non-coding RNA, 483 nt
Organism: Paramuricea clavata
Lineage: Eukaryota; Metazoa; Cnidaria; Anthozoa; Malacalcyonacea; Plexauridae
Source: the annotation of a GenBank genome assembly